AAACCGGUUUGCAUAUUCUAGUGCAACAGUUUUCAAUGGAAGCAGGAGGGGAUUUUGCACCCCGCCUCCCCAGGAGACAUUUGGCAAAUUCUGAAGACAGUUUUGGUUGUCAGAACUGGGGAAAAGGGGGUGCUGCUGAUACCUAGAGGGUAGAGGCCAGGGAUGCUCCUGAAUAGUCUACAAAACAGAGGAUGGGACCUCAUAACAAAAAAUGUCAGUAGUGCUGAGGUUGGUGUAGUAUAUUUGGGGAAGGGAGUGUGAUUCCUGGUAUAAAACAUUUCAUCUACUAACCCAAUAAUAAUGAUUGUCAACACUUACUAAAUUCUUAUUAUUGUGCUAGCCACCAUUCUAAUUAUCUUACAUGUGUUAUCGUAUAUAAUACUCGAACAGUUAUGACUGGACUUUACAGGUCAGGGAACUGAGGUUUUGAAAGGUUAAGUGACUUGUCCAAGAUCACACAGCCAGUAGGUGGCAGAAAAACUAAGAUCUUUCAGUAGACAGAGGACUCGCUCACCACGCUGCUGUGGGGCUGAGCAGUGUGUAGGGUGCUGCAAAGACCAGUUACUUCUCUGAAGGAACUCACUUUUAGUCCGGGAGACAGUGAGUGCAAUCGAGGGGGAUGGACUUGGGAAGGGCAGGAAUUCAUGGGCUAAAAGGCAGAGAUUUGUUUUGGAUUGCCAGGAUUUUUUAUUAAGAAGAGGAAGAAUUUGGGGUAUCUGGGUGGCUCAGUCGGUUAAGUGUCUGCCUUCAGCUCAUGAUCUCGAGGUGCUGGGAUCAAGCCCUGCGUUGGACUCUCUACCCAGCAGAGAGUUUGCUUCUCCUUUUCCCUCUGUGCGCUCUCUCUCUCAAAUAAAUAAAAUUAAAAAAAUAAUCAUAAUAAGAGGGGGCGCCUGGGUAGCUCAGUUGGUUAAGUGACUGCCUUUGGCUCUGGUCAUGAUCCCCGAGUCCUGGGAUUGAGUCCCGCAUUGGGCUCCCCCUGUUCUGCAGGGAGCCUGCUUCUCCCUCUCCCUCUCCCUCUGCCACUCCCCCUGCUUGCACAUGCUCUCUCUCCUUCUCUCUCUGUCAGAUAAAUAAAUAAAAAUCUUUAUUAAAAAAAGAGGAAGAACUUAUUUAUUUCCUUUAUUUUGUUUUAGCUUCCAUGUCGAAAGCUAGGCGUGAUGUGGGUUUUUUCCCUUUAGAUGGUUAGGUUUAAUAGGCAGCCUUGUUGGAAGCAUGAAAGAGACCAGUUGACCUUGAAGAUUCCUUUCAACUAGGAAAUUCUGGGAUUGACUUUGUCGUAUGCAGCAGUUUUGUAUUAUCCUUCUAUCUUUUUGUUUGUCCUCUGGCAUUUAAGAGUAAUUUGGCUUUACAGAUACCCUUCCACAGCCCUUUUGAUAGGUUUAAUCUUUUCUACACCCCCAAGAAAGGGUGCUGUUAUUUGGAAAUAUAUGUGAACACUUGAUGUGUAACAAGGAAGCCUUUCAUGACCGAAGGCAGAGCAGCCUGGUCCUCCGCUGAAAGCGAGCCAAUCCUGAUUGGUUGGAGCUGAUGGAAAUGGACAGCUGUAUUUAUUUUCUCAGGCACUGACAUUUAAGCAAAUGUAGCCCCCAACAGGGGGUGGUGGUAGCAGGACAGAAGGCUCUGUAGCCAAACACCACUUGGGGCAGCCCCCAGACUAUAGGCUCUGAGGUCGUUGUUCUGCUGCCACCCCUUUCUCUCGCCUUCCCCAGUCCCUCUGCCCACACUCCCCACCCUCAGUCAAAAUACAGAAGGUUCUGCUGCACAGAGAAACCCUGUGGAAUUCGCAGCUUUGCCUUUUCCUUUUAUUUUUCCGGUACUUCUGUGAUACCGCACACAGGUGGUGGUGGCCGCUGUCCUGGCUUUCUAUUUUUGUCUUUUUUUUUUUUUUUUUUAAGCUAAGCACUGAAAGAGGCAGUCAGUUAUCCGCUCACUACAGGUCUUCCUCCCCACUCAGAACCCCAGAUGUCUCCUGCCUUUCCCCAGUAUUGUCCACUACCAUCCCCUACCCCGCUGGGAGCUUCAGAUGUGAACUCAUCGUUUCUGGGGCUCACUGUCUUUGCAUAAACAUUAGUAUACACGCAGCUCAUUUUACUUUUAUUUUCCCUCGCCAAACUAGGCACGGUGAGUGGAAGUCAUAAAAAUUUGUUUCAGGUCUCAGCCCUCCUCUCUCUCUCGUAUGGCCAUACACCCUGUCCCCUGGAUGAUAGUCUAGAUCAGGGGUUGGCAGACUUUUACUGUAAAGGACCAGAGAGGAAAUACUUUAAGCUUAUGAGCCACAUCAGUGGUCUCUUUCACAUAUUCUUCCUUUUAUUUUUUCUCUUUUUUUUUUUUUUUUUAAACAACCGCUGUAGAAAUGAAAAUGCCACUCUUCGCUUGCUGGGUGCACGGAGCUCAUCCUCUGGCCAGGAGUAGGAGAGAGAGCAUGUGCAAGCAGGGGGAGUGGCAGAGGGUUAAUUCAUUAACCCCCGUUCCAGAUUCUUUCCCACUCAAAGUGUGGUCUGUGGACCAGCCGUACGGCUAUCAUCCUGGAGCUUGUUAGACAUGCCGAAUCUCAGACCCCGCUCCGAAGUCAGAAUUAGUAUCUGUGUUUUAAACGCAGCCCCUCCUCCCCCAGCAAGUCACAUGCACAUCGGACUUUGAGAAGUACUGGUUUUUAAAUACCGUCUGUGUGUGGUGAUGCCCAUGUUUCUUUCUCCAUCCCUCCCUCCAAGGACUCCAGGCUCAUUGCAAUAAGCGCCUACCUGACAUCUCUCUUCGGAGGUCCUAGGUACCUCCUAGGUAAAAUGUGAGACUCAGACACACUAAUGUCUUUAAAAACACUUAGCACAUAUUGAAUAAUAACUGCUAUGAUUAUUCUCACGUGCGGGGCCCUACGCUGGGUCCUGGAGCUUGAGAUGAAUAAGACACCCGCUCUGCCCGUAGUCUUGUUUGGGGAGGGACGUUCCCCCAGUUACUAUGUGAAAGAGGGAAGUAAACUCAACAGGGUUUGGUCAUUGCCUGGAUGUAGGGAACAGAGGUUUCGACCCACUAGGUGCUUCCUAAAUGCUGCUGAAAAAUGAACCCACAAACUGACUAGGCUGUUUUUCCUGUGGGCCAAGUGUUCCACAACCACGAGGUGGCGGCAUUGCCAAAGUAUUCCUGUGGCCGGCUCCUUUGGCCUCUUUGCUGGAGUCUUCUGGGCCCUGGCCCCACCUUUCCAAUCUCAGAGUCUGAGUCACCAGCUCUUAACACUGCCUGGAGAGGCCUUAAGGCAUGGUUCCUGCAGCCUCUGCCCCCGAAGCCCCCUGCGCAGUUGCCAUUUUGAGUUUUUCUGACAUCUCUGGCUAUUCCUCCAGACGUCCUUCCCAUCAUACUGCUUGCUGAGGGAAGCCCUCUGCACCCCCAGUUUCUGAGCUGACUGUUCUCCUGAUUUCUUCUGCUCUCUCUCCACUCACCGGCAAAUUUCUUCUCUUCCAGCCUGAAGGUUUUGCAUUCUCCUUUGUCCCUCCCAAAUUCUCAGCUGUCCCCAAGAGGCUGCCCGUUGGGGCCACUCACGGCCCCCCACCCUGUUGACACGCUGGAGAGAGCCGGGGCUGUUGGAGUGAGACAGGCCCGGGUCCUGUCCUAGUGCUAAUUCUUACUAAGUAAGUGUGGCCUGAGACAGUGUCACGCUGUUUCUGAGUGUAGUGUAGUGCAGAGCUGAAGAGCGAGCCUCGGGCCAGACGUCAUCUGUGCUGGAAUCCUGGCUUUGCCGUUUCACCAGCUGAGAAGACUUGAAAAGCUUGCCGACCACUCCUCUAGUCCGUGGUUUUCUGUCUUUGGAUGACGGCCCUCCUGUUCAUCUGGCAUUAAGUGCCUACCCCUGGGAUGAGGGUAUGGCAUUGGAUGGAACCAGUUGGUACAGCUGUUCUCUAGAUGCCCUUCGGUUGAUCCCAACUUACAGCUUCAUUUCCCUUCCUCUGUCCCUGGGCACUUGGAGACAGCUAGGUAUGUACUGUCAGGCCAGAGGUCACAUAAAGGAUCAGCCCAUUUGUACUUAAAAAAGAAAAGACCUUGGGGUGCCUGGGUGGUUCAGUUGGUUAAGUGUCUAAGCUUUGGCUCAGGUCAUGAUCCUAGGGUCCUGAGAUCAAGCCCCAUGUCGGGCUCCCUGCUCAGCGGGGAGCCAUGCCCCCCCUUUGUGCUCUCUCUCUUUCUCAAAUAAAUAAACUCUUUAAAAAAAAGACCUUUAUGUAAAAAAAAAAAAAAAAAAGACCUUUAUGUAGAUAUGUUCAUAUAUAUGUAAACUCGUUAAAGACUGGGAUAGUAAAUACCCAACUAUUGUUAGUGUUUAUUUCAAUGAAAAGGCUUGGGUAUUAGACUUCUGAAUUAUUUGAGAAUUUAUUCAUGUGAUGCUUGGAUAGAUAUUUCUUAGGAUGUUAACCUCAUCACCAAACAAAACAAAGAAGCAGAUGAUCAGAUUAGCCUGGAUUGGAGCCUCGGCCCCUCCUUCCUUCAUAGCUUGAAUGACCCUCAUUACAUGGGCUUGUCAGUUCAUCAGCAAGUACUGCAUACCCCCAAGAUAUGUGGACCCCAAACUCUGGUGAAUUACACCUGUCUACGGAGAUGCACCUGUGAGAUGCUAAUGGAGAGCAUGAAGCUGUGGAGAGGUGCACACUGGGAGCGGGUGGGUUAGAGUGUGCGGAGGCAGCUCCACCCCACAGCUGGGGACAUGGUGGCCCCUGGGACGGCUGGACACGGUGAUGGGAGGGCGUUCUGGGAAGUAGAAGGGGUGUUCUGGGUAAGGACAACACUGUGGACAGAGCUGUAGGGUGGGCUCUUAGCAUUAGCUGGGCUUUGAAAUGGGGCAGGGGAAAAAGUGAGUGAACCCACAGGAAUCUAUUCCUUUGGUUUCAUCACUUGAGACCACUUAAAGAUGGCAGAUUGCUUUCUUUUUUUCCCCUAAGAUUUUAUUUAUUUGUUUGAGAGAGAGUGACUGAGAGCACAACCGGGGAGGAAAGGGAGAAGCAGACUCCCCACUGAGCAGGGAUCCUGACGUGGGGCUCAAUGCCCAGGACCCCGGGAUCAUGACCCAAGCCAAAGGCAGGCAGUUAACCAACUGAGCCACCAAGGUGCCCCAAGAUAGCAAAUUUCUGUCUACUUUUCUCCCUGGGUGCUUCAGAGCUCCUGACACCAGGGAGCCAAGCCCCUUGUGGGGCUUGGAGGGACAGUAGAAUAACAACAAGCAGACAUUUCAAGAUGGAAAGACCCCUAACACCUGGGUAAAAUUCUUCAGCCAGAAUCUGGGGUCUUCCUUUCUCUUGGCGGUCUAAUUGGCUCAUGCUCUCCUUCCCCUGCCACCUCAGCUCAAGGAACCCUUGCACACUGCCUCCUCUGUGUCCCCAUCUCCUCCCUCUGUUCAAUUCUCCAUUUAGACUCAUGGCUUCCAUGAAGCUGGGAGAAGCCAUUGCAUUCAGAAGCGAGAAAUUGAGUAGAUCCUGAGCUACUGAGAUGUAGUCACCAUCACAAGACUGGUGUUCUCGUUCUCUCUCCCAGAUGGGGCAAGGUCCCAGGACUUUGUGGCAGUCUUGAGGCUCAAGUCAGCAGAAAAGUCAGCUUACUCAGGACCAGUGGGUGAAGGCGGAUCACCCACAGGAUAGCUGGUUCCCCUUCAUUGCUUGGCUCCGGCUGGUGCUGCCAGCCUGUGGCAGCCUGGUUCUGAUCCAGACUUCUUAGUGAGUGAUAACCUAUAAUUCUGGUAGUCCUGGGCCCCUCUCAGUGGGGGAUAUACCCUGUUUCUUUGAUCUUCUGCCCGCUUCCGGCCAGUGCACACAAUAUGGCAGUGUCCAUGGAUGUUGCGCUGAGACCGGGUCCGUGUGCUCCUCUCUGAGUAAAUAAGGCGAUGCCUCUAGGCAGGAAGUUGAGAGAGGGGCCAUGUUUUGGAACUCCCGAGUGUUCGGUCCAAUAGCUUUUGUAGACUGGUCUGCUUAACCCCAGAACAGCUUCUUCCUGGGUGCGGGGAUGUGGGGGUCUCUCAGCUCUAAGGGCAGGACUGUCUGUCCGUGCCUCCAUUAUCUCAUUCAGUACCAGUUCUCAGUCCUUCUGUUCAGAUGGAGCUUUGUGGGAUGCUGUAAGCCCCACAGCCAUCGUAUAGCAGCAUUUCCCAUUCCUAACAGACCACCUCUGAUACCAUGUAACCAAAGGCCGGCCACCCCAGGCAGCCCUGGAGCAGCAUUCAGAGUUGCCAAAUUUG
This is a long non-coding RNA of Mirounga angustirostris (Northern elephant seal), 6208 nucleotides long. RefSeq lists it as uncharacterized. Lineage: Eukaryota; Metazoa; Chordata; Mammalia; Carnivora; Phocidae. The transcript has 2 exons. The record is from RefSeq and is a predicted model, not a curated record.